UUCUUGGGAGAACAAGUGCUAGC
This 23-nucleotide non-coding RNA is filed under the name Cricetulus griseus (Chinese hamster). Lineage: Eukaryota; Metazoa; Chordata; Mammalia; Rodentia; Cricetidae. The record is from RNAcentral.